UAAUAUACAGUAUGUAUGAUCCCACUUGCCAUGGCUCAUACUGCUUUAUUUUACUUUUUCUGAAACUGAUUUAUUUUAUGGUCAGUGAACACAACACCCCUGCAGACUAGGGUCGUGUACCCCGGAAGAUAGCAACACUUUGGCUGCGCUGUCUCGCUGUGACAUCUAGUUCGAUUAUAUUGGACUGAAGGCAGACAUCUCUACGGCUGAUAUCUCCAACAGGCUGCAACUCACACCAAAACAUUCUAGAUUGAAAGAAAAGCACUACAGUCACCAGAGAGCCACAAUGGAGAGAGUGGCUCCAGCAUCCGUGACACUGAGAGAGCUGAAAGGGCUAAGAGGGCUGCACUUAUUUGCAGUGCAGAGAGCUUGUGUGCUUCACAGAAAGCCCACACCCAUGCUGCUCUGGAAAGACUUGGAGUCUCCACCCAGCAGGCCACCCUCCCUUCACCUCAUCCCCCAGUUUCACCCAAAAGGAGGCCUGAAUCCACUUUUCCAAGGAGGCUCAGGCCCAUUUCAGUGGACCAGACAUUGGACAGAGAGGACCUCAUUGUGAAGGAGAGAAGCCCCAGCCCAGACUCUUCCCUCAGCUCUGUGGACACACACACUCCCACUGAGCUGAGGGACAUUCCAUAUCUGGGACAUUUCACCCCGACUCCUCCACCUACAGCAGCACCCAGGAGAAGGUCUCGUCUCCCGGUGAUGUGUGUUAGAGUUGGUGGAGCAGUCAAAGAGGUAGCUGAUGGAUACAAGCUCCAGUCAGCUAAAACUACGAUGGAGGAACUCACUAGGUCGCUGCAGAAGUUCCAGGUUAUCCAUCAACCUAAACCACCAGCAGCACCCAGAAGGAUCCCAGCUAUGGCACCCAAGGUUCCAGCACCUCCAGCAACAGUGUCCCAGCCCAACAGAAGAGGACUCUGUCGUAGGACCGUGGCUGAAGCACCCAAGGUUCCAGCACCUCCAGCCACAGUGUCCCAGCCCAACAGAAGAGGACUCUGUCGUAGGACCGUGGCUGAAGUACCUAAGGUUCCUGCACCGCCAUCAACAUCUGCCCCACCCAAAAAGAAAG
This is a long non-coding RNA of Epinephelus fuscoguttatus (brown-marbled grouper), 1069 nucleotides long. RefSeq lists it as uncharacterized. NCBI's taxonomy places the organism in Eukaryota, Metazoa, Chordata, Actinopteri, Perciformes, Serranidae. The record is from RefSeq and is a predicted model, not a curated record. The transcript has 4 exons.